Molecule: long non-coding RNA, 2290 nt
Organism: Xenopus tropicalis (tropical clawed frog)
Lineage: Eukaryota; Metazoa; Chordata; Amphibia; Anura; Pipidae
Exons: 2
Source: RefSeq, a predicted model, not a curated record
UCUGCAUAGCAUAUGUAUAUACUUAUUAUAUAUUAUCUUCAUUUUGCUUCAUUGUUUUUCUGGUUUGUUUUGAACAGGAGAAUGGUGUCUCUGCAGUGAGCCAAUGAAAACACAGAGGUGUUUCUGAGCAAGCCAAUCCAUUGCUGACAAUUCUCUGCAGCAGCUCCCUUGUCACAGAGAGGGAGUGGUAGAUAGCCAGUGAAGAGAGAACCUGAGGCUCCAAUAAACACACUGCGACAUCGAAGAGAGGAGAACAGUCUCACCAGCUUUUAUUGCAGGCAAGUAAAUGCUUAAAUGACUAAAAACGUAGGCAUCAUGACGCCCAGACUACAGCAGCUUUAGCAAGUGUAGUAGUGUUUCCACUUUCCUGAAAUGAUGCUGUUAACUGCAGUUGUAGCUGCAGAAUGGAACAGGAAUCAGCAUGGAAAAUAUUGCGUAUGAGCUAAGGUAAACUGUGUGAGUCCUGUUUAAAUUCCUCAUAGACAGCUGUUGAGCCUCUAGUGAGUUAGCUGUUCACUGCUUAUAUUUGGUGGCUAUCAAGGAUUGAUGCCUGCAAGAUGUUCCUAGAAAGCAAAGAAGGCUACUCUAUAACCCUGUCUUCUGUGGGAUAUGGCCACUGUUUUUUUCUUUUAAAUAAGCACGUUUAGUCGCAAAGCAUGCAUUGCUCUAAUCUAUGAUCAGUAGCAACCAUAAUUCUUGCUACCUUUUCAUGUGUUCAACAAAAGAACUGCGUGCUACAUUUAAUCCUUAUCUGGGAGGGGUGGAGCUACGCCGUUGACUUAUGGGAAAAAAUUUUAUUGCAUUGCGCAUUGAAUUUUAACUCCAGCAGCAGAAAGGUUGGAAACUGCUAAAUAUUUAACCCAUAAAUUCUUUUGUUAGCUAAUGCAGUAUAGUAGGGCUGGUGUUGACAGUAUGAAGCUGAUAUGCUCUCUUCAUUCAUUUCCUUUAAGCCCGGCAACAAAUACUUAGUAAGCUUUCUAUACGAAGCAAAUGUUUUCUCGUUGGUGAGGAUAUAUACAUUUGUUGGGAAGGCAUGUGAUAAUGUCAUUCCACGCAUUUCAAUAAUAACAGUGAAGUUGUAGCCUGCGUGUAGUUAGUUAACACUUGAGGGUGACGUGACCGUGGCUGAUAAAUUGGCAUAGGAAGGGUUAGGAGCAGCGAAAAUCUGUAUCAGGUGCAUGCGAUGCAGCACCAGACUUGUUACACAGUCGCCAUAUUGGUGUACGCCUUUACCAUUAAAUUAGUCUUAUAAAUUAGUUUUUAAGUACAUUAUUUAUUACUGGUUAGGCUUAAUGCAUUAUUUGAUAUAGCCUCUUAAUAUGGUAUCAGUAAAUCUGACUUGAUUUUUCAAAGUUUUAGGCUUUGUCAAUCACGUUGUCAGUGUUAGGAAUAGAUUCCUAAUCAGUUUUGCUUGGGCUAUAUGUCAAGGUGUGGUUUUCCACCUGUUGAAGUUCAGCUUUCAGCAUCCUUCAGCAUGCUGUGCCUGUUGGGAUAUCAUAGGAUUUGUCAUUUAAUAACCGCUAAUAUGUGGUGAAAAGCCUGGAUAAAUGACUACACUUUCAUUUAAAGGGGGAUCCACCCAAAUAUGUUUUUUGGAAUUGUAAGCUAUUUUCCAAUAUACAUUAAACAGUUUAAUUGGUUUUAAAUAUAUUUGUAGUUGUAACUGCUACUGAAAGCAGUAUCUGUCCGGCUGUUUGUAUUCUUUUCACUACAGGUUCCGACUCUUGAAAGGCAGAACAGACCUAGAGAAGAAGUGAAUUCUGCUACAUUUUUCAGAUCCAGAGCCAGAGGAAAGAAAGGGAUAAACAAAAACUCUUUUAAAUUGCAAUUCCAUUUAAAAAUAUCUUUGAAACCAUUAGUUCUGUCUAAUUAAUGUAUAUUGGAAACACUCCUUUUAAUUGCAUUUACUGUACAUAUGUCCCAUUUAAAACCUUCAGCAAUUUGGCAGCCAAAAAACUUUACUUACAGCCUGGGUCAGUAUAUACUGUAUGUAUAUCUUUCUAAAUCGCUACUUAUGUAAGCAGCGCUAUACUGUGAGUAAUUCCUAAAUAAAGUGACACUCCCAUCCUCCGCAUAGCACAAAUAUUGUAACUACUAGUUUUUGCAAGCUAGCAUUUUAGGGUGCCACAUAGCCAAAAGGGGACUGCUUCAAAGGUCCAGGCUUCCUUUGGUAUUUAAAGUGCCCAUCGGUGUGUGAAGGGGCAGGGGCAUUUUUUAAAAAACAGAAAAACAUACCACAAAUGGAAAAUAGGGAGAAUGGAAGAUCUAAAGAGAAGAGUCAAUUGCAAAA